AUUGAACGCUGGCGGCAGGCCUAACACAUGCAAGUCGAGCGGAUGAAGGGAGCUUGCUCCUGGAUUCAGCGGCGGACGGGUGAGUAAUGCCUAUGAAUCUGCCUGGUAGUGGGGGAUAACGUCCGGAAACGGGCGCUAAUACCGCAUACGUCCUGAGGGUGAAAGUGGGGGAUCUUCGGACCUCACGCUAUCAGAUGAGCCUAGGUCGGAUUAUCUAGUUGGUGGGGUAAAGGCCUACCAAGGCGACGAUCCGUAACUGGUCUGAGAGGAUGAUCAGUCACACUAGAACUGAGACACGGUCCAGACUCCUACGGGAGGAAGCAGUGGGGAAUAUUGGACAAUGGGCGAAAGCCUGAUCCAGCCAUGCCGAGUGUGUGAAGAAGGUGUUCGGAUUGUAAAGCACUUUAAGUUGGGAGGAAGGGCAGUAAGUUAAUACCUUGCUGUUUUGACGUUACCAACAGAAUAAGCACCGGCUAACUUCGUG
This 484-nucleotide ribosomal RNA is filed under the name uncultured bacterium. RNAcentral describes it as "partial 16S ribosomal RNA". It matches the Rfam family "Bacterial small subunit ribosomal RNA", at positions 30 to 507 of the family's 1533-position model. The record is from RNAcentral.